AACGAACGCUGGCGGCAUGCCUAACACAUGCAAGUCGAACGAAGCCUUCGGGCUUAGUGGCGCACGGGUGCGUAACGCGUGGGAAUCUGCCCUUGGGUUCGGAAUAACAGUUAGAAAUGACUGCUAAUACCGGAUGAUGUCUUCGGACCAAAGAUUUAUCGCCCAAGGAUGAGCCCGCGUAGGAUUAGGUAGUUGGUGGGGUAAUGGCCCACCAAGCCGACGAUCCUUAGCUGGUCUGAGAGGAUGAUCAGCCACGCUGGGACUGAGACACGGCCCAGACUCCUACGGGAGGCAGCAGUGGGGAAUAUUGGACAAUGGGCGAAAGCCUGAUCCAGCAAUGCCGCGUGAGUGAUGAAGGCCUUAGGGUUGUAAAGCUCUUUUACCAGGGAUGAUAAUGACAGUACCUGGAGAAUAAGCUCCGGCUAGCUCCGUGCCAGCAGCCGCCGUAA
This 449-nucleotide ribosomal RNA is filed under the name uncultured bacterium. RNAcentral's name for it is "partial 16S ribosomal RNA". It matches the Rfam family "Bacterial small subunit ribosomal RNA", at positions 29 to 523 of the family's 1533-position model. The record is from RNAcentral.